UGGCUCAUGUGAUUAUGAAGGCUGACAAGUCCUAUCAUCCACCUUCUGCAAGCUGGAAGCCCAGGAAAGCUGGUGGUGUAGCUCCAGUCUGAAGCUGAAGAUCUGAGAACGAGGUGGGAGUCCUAGUCCAGAGCGGUAGGAGACCAAUUCUCCAGCUCAAGGAGUCAGGCAGAGAGCAGAUCCUCUCUCCUUUGUGUUUAAAAAAUUUUUUUGUAAUGUUUAUUUAUUUUUGAGACAGAAGGAGACAGAGCAUGAACGGGGGAGGGUCAGAGAGAGAGGGAGACACAGAAUGUGAAACAGGCUCCAGGCUCUGAGCUGUCAGCACAGAGCCCGACGCGGGGCUCAAACUCACGGACCGCGAGAUCAUGACCUGAGCUGAAGUCAGAUGCUUAACCGACUGAGACACCCAGGCACCCCUCUCCUUCGUGUUUUAAUUCUAUUUGGACCCUCCAAGGCUUGGCUGAUGCCCACCCACCCUGGGGAGGGUGAUCCACGUUACUCGGUCCACUGAUUCACAUAUCGAUCUCAUUAGGGAAACAGCCUCACAGACACACCCAGAAGUGAUGUUUAGCCACAUAGCUGGGCCCUUGUGACCCAGUCGAGAUAACACACAAAAUCGACCAUUAUAGAUAGGUACUUUCGGUAGAAGGACGAUUCAGGAUAAGCAUUUCUGUUUGUAUCAGUAGUUAUAGUUUCUGCAGCCCCAGGCUUUGUGGCACCACCCGGAGGGCCAGAACGUCGAUUUGGAAUUUUAGGACUUAUCCAAAUCAUGUACUAAUUGGACUUAUUGCCCAUCGGCCUGUAUCAGGAGUAGCCAGGCCAAACCUGCCAUUGAUGGCAGAUCUUCUGAACGUGAUCACAGUCCAUCAAAAAAGUCAGUUUAGAAAAGCUCCCUGUCUCAUUUUACGUCUCCAGCCACGGACAUUCUUCCUGCCCUUUGUCCAGACUCACGGAGGAAGGAGGCCAUAGUUUGCCUCGUCUACUUGGCUGUUAGAGGGGAGAGAGCUGGAACUAGAGAAGACACAGGGUUACUGCUGCACAAGUCCCCAGGGCAGCAAGGAGGGGAAGGCCCUGCCCUGUCCUUUCUUCUUAGCCUCCGUCAUUUUCUGGGACAUCUGAAACAGUGCCACUGCAGGGGUCAGUGGCGACUGGUGAAAACAGAGCAGGGAAAGCGCGAGGCUGGAUUCAGGGCAAACAGGCCCAGGACCGGUAAUGCAUCUUUGGGUAACCGUGAGUAUCGGUAAUGGACAGUAAUGACAGCCAACAUCUUUAAGCGCUUACUAAACGCUGGUAAGUAUGCUAAGUGUUUCAUGUGUGUCGACCGAUUAAUGUAGGUUAGGUAUGUGGAGAAGAAUGGCAGGAGACGGUGUUGCAGGAUGGAAUUAAAGGCAAGGCUUACAGGGGCGCCUGGGUGGCUCAGUUGGUUGGGCAUCUGACUUCAGCUCAGGUCGUGAUCUCACAUUCUGUGGGUUCGAGCCCCAUGUCGGGCUCUGUGCUGAUGGCUCAGAGCCUGGAGCCUGCUUCGGGUUCUGUGUCUCCCUCUCUCUGCCCCUCCCCGACUCGCACUCUGUCUCUCUCUCUCUCUCUCUCUCUCUCUCUCAAAAAUAAUAAAUAAACAUUAAAAAAAAAAUUUUUUUAAAGC
This 1642-nucleotide long non-coding RNA is filed under the name Felis catus (domestic cat). RNAcentral's name for it is "lncRNA (ENSFCAG00000053356.1)". The stretch from base 1406 to 1490 matches the Rfam family "tRNA". The record is from RNAcentral. Lineage: Eukaryota; Metazoa; Chordata; Mammalia; Carnivora; Felidae.